RNAcentral lists this long non-coding RNA (205 nucleotides) under Elaeis guineensis (African oil palm). Its description in RNAcentral is "long non-coding RNA (EGUI_LNC081423)". Lineage: Eukaryota; Viridiplantae; Streptophyta; Magnoliopsida; Arecales; Arecaceae. The record is from RNAcentral.
GAAUUAAAAAUUCAGUUAGUCCAGUACCAAAGCACAGUGAGUUGCUUGCAAGUCACUGAGGCGAUCUCAGGUCUAAGGGACACUUAUAUCUAUAUCCCAUCAGAGACAUUCUCGAUAGCAGAAUGCUCUAGAGUUGAUCACGUUCAAUGAUGAUAUACCCUUACAUCUCACCUGUAUGCCAUACCAGUAUCUCCACACUCCUUGG